AUCUGGAAGAAUACUGGAGACAGGUGCUGCAUGACUGUCGUCAGCUCGUGUCGUGAGAUGUUGGGUUAAGUCCCGCAACGAGCGCAACCCUUGCCUUUAGUUGCCAGCAGUUCGGCUGGGCACUCUAAAGGGACUGCCGGUGUUAAACCGGAGGAAGGUGGGGAUGACGUCAAGUCCUCAUGGCCUUUAUGACCAGGGCUACACACGUACUACAAUGGCCGAUACAAAGGGCAGCGACACUGCGAGGUGAAGCCAAUCCCGUAAAAUCGGUCUCAGUCCGGAUUGGAGUCUGCAACUCGACUCCAUGAAGUUGGAAUCGCUAGUAAUCGUGGAUCAGCAUGCCACGGUGAAUACGUUCCCGGGCCUU
Molecule: ribosomal RNA, 367 nt
Filed under: uncultured Desulfobulbus sp.
Lineage: Bacteria; Pseudomonadati; Thermodesulfobacteriota; Desulfobulbia; Desulfobulbales; Desulfobulbaceae
Description: bacterial SSU rRNA
Rfam family: Bacterial small subunit ribosomal RNA
Source: RNAcentral